Molecule: ribosomal RNA, 253 nt
Filed under: uncultured bacterium
Lineage: Bacteria
Description: partial 16S ribosomal RNA
Rfam family: Bacterial small subunit ribosomal RNA
Source: RNAcentral
UACGAAGGGGGCUAGCGUUGCUCGGAAUUACUGGGCGUAAAGGGCGCGUAGGCGGAUAGCUUAGUCAGAGGUGAAAGCCCAGGGCUCAACCUUGGAAUUGCCUUUGAUACUGGCUGUCUUGAGUUCGGGAGAGGUGAGUGGAAUGCCGAGUGUAGAGGUGAAAUUCGUAGAUAUCUGGAGGAACACCGGUGGCGAAGGCGGCAUCCUGGACCGGUAUUGACGCUGAUGCGCGAAAGCCAGGGGAGCAAACGGG